GUGUCAGCAGCCGCGGUAAGACGAAGGAUGCAAGCGUUAUCCGGAUUUAUUGGGUUUAAAGGGAGCGUAGGUGGCCUUAUAAGUCAGCGGUGAAAGACUAGAGCUUAACUCUGGAAUUGCCAUUGAUACUGUAGGGCUUGAGUAUAGUUGCUGUGGGCGGAAUAUGACAUGUAGUGGUGAAAUACUUAGAGAUGUCAUAGAACACCGAUUGCGAAGGCAGCUCACAAAACUAUAACUGACACUGAGGCUCGAAAGUGCGGGGAUCAAACAGGAUUAGAUACCCUGGUAGUCC
This 292-nucleotide ribosomal RNA is filed under the name uncultured bacterium. RNAcentral's name for it is "partial 16S ribosomal RNA". It matches the Rfam family "Bacterial small subunit ribosomal RNA", at positions 505 to 796 of the family's 1533-position model. The record is from RNAcentral.